CGUCUUGGUUAUUGAUGUUAGAUGCUUGCAUUUAACUGAUUUAACAUUGAGACGAGUGGCGAACUGGUGAGUAACACGUGGGUAACCUGCCCUUGAAGUAGGGGAUAACACUUGGAAACAGGUGCUAAUACCGUAUAACAACCAAAACCACCUGGUUUUGGUUUAAAAGAUGGCUUCGGCUAUCACUUUAGGAUGGACCCGCGGCGUAUUAGCUUGUUGGUAAGGUAACGGCCUACCAAGGCAAUGAUACGUAGCCGACCUGAGAGGGUAAUCGGCCACAUUGGGACUGAGACACGGCCCAAACUCCUACGGGAGGCAGCAGUAGGGAAUCUUCCACAAUGGACGAAAGUCUGAUGGAGCAACGCCGCGUGAGUGAUGAAGGGUUUCGGCUCGUAAAACUCUGUUGUUGGAGAAGAACAGGUGUGAGAGUAACUGUUCACAUCUUGACGGUAUCCAACCAGAAAGCCACGGCUAACUACGUGCCAGCAGCCGCGGUAAUACGUAGGUGGCAAGCGUUGUCCGGAUUUAUUGGGCGUAAAGCGAGCGCAGGCGGUUUCUUAGGUCUGAUGUGAAAGCCUUCGGCUUAACCGGAGAAGUGCAUCGGAAACCAGGAGACUUGAGUGCAGAAGAGGACAGUGGAACUCCAUGUGUAGCGGUGAAAUGCGUAGAUAUAUGGAAGAACACCAGUGGCGAAGGCGGCUGUCUGGUCUGUAACUGACGCUGAGGCUCGAAAGCAUGGGUAGCGAACAGGAUUAGAUACCCUGGUAGUCCAUGCCGUANACGAUGAGUGCUAAGUGUUGGAGGGUUUCCACCCUUCAGUGCUGCAGCUAACG
RNAcentral lists this ribosomal RNA (833 nucleotides) under uncultured bacterium. RNAcentral's name for it is "bacterial SSU rRNA". It matches the Rfam family "Bacterial small subunit ribosomal RNA", at positions 40 to 857 of the family's 1533-position model. The record is from RNAcentral.